Molecule: ribosomal RNA, 273 nt
Filed under: uncultured bacterium
Lineage: Bacteria
Description: partial 16S ribosomal RNA
Rfam family: Bacterial small subunit ribosomal RNA
Source: RNAcentral
CCUACGGGAGGCAGCAGUGGGGAAUAUUGCACAAUGGGGGAAACCCUGAUGCAGCGACGCCGCGUGAGUGAAGAAGUAUUUCGGUAUGUACCGCUCUCUCCGCCGGCCCGAGCCCGGCCGGUCCCUGACUAAGAAGCCCCGGCUAACUACGUGCCAGCAGCCGCGGUACUACGUAGGGGGCAAGCGUUAUCCGGAGUCACUGGGUGUAAAGGGCGCGUCGCCGGCUGUGCCAGCCUGCCGUGCCCGGCGGGGGCCCCCCCCCUGGCCUGCUUU